UCCUAUCCUCUGGAAAUAAAACCACCUGACCACCACUAACCACUACCAAAUCUUCACCGCCUCUGACCACCACUAACCACAACCAUUCAACUUAUGCUGCAAUAAACACUUCUCAAACACCAUCUUCACAACAACACAAUCAAUCCCAAAUAUUGAAACAAGAUUCUCAAUCACAACAUCAAAAACGCAACAACACACAAAAGGGUCUAACAAGAAUUCAACAAAUCAAACAAAUAAACCUUCAGUUUCAUUUUAUAACUGAACAAAAUUAGGGAUUUUAUAAAAUUACCAAAUCAAUCGCACUACUAGUGGACACAAUCUUCGACCCUUCAUCUUCAAAAUUGGGAUCCCUCUGCUUCCGGCCACCACUGUCGCUAUACUCCGUCACCGUCGGAGACUUGAGGAGAAUCAUGCUUGUCAUUUCUUUCAACAGAUUAUUUCCGGUGUUGAGAGUUGCCACCUACACAUGGUGGUUCACCGCGAUCUUAAACCAGAAAACCUACUUCUUGACUCGAAAGGGAAUGUUAAAGUAGAUGAUUUUGGUCUUGCUAAUGUUAUGCGGGAUG
Molecule: long non-coding RNA, 566 nt
Organism: Helianthus annuus (common sunflower)
Lineage: Eukaryota; Viridiplantae; Streptophyta; Magnoliopsida; Asterales; Asteraceae
Exons: 2
Source: RefSeq, a predicted model, not a curated record